UUAAGCAUAUCAAUAAGCGGAGGAA
RNAcentral lists this non-coding RNA (25 nucleotides) under Mus musculus (house mouse). The record is from RNAcentral. RNAcentral also lists the same sequence under 2 other names. Lineage: Eukaryota; Metazoa; Chordata; Mammalia; Rodentia; Muridae.